This 30-nucleotide non-coding RNA is filed under the name Mus musculus (house mouse). The record is from RNAcentral. Lineage: Eukaryota; Metazoa; Chordata; Mammalia; Rodentia; Muridae. RNAcentral also lists the same sequence under 1 other name.
UUAGAUGGUCUUCAGAUAACUGCCCUCCUU